ACUUUUUUCAAGGAUAUCGGUAACGUGGCGAUCACGAUUCGGCAAUGCCUUCCAUGUGCUGUUCAACCCAUGAAAUUUUUGUCUAAGUUUCCUGCUUUAUAUCAGUACUUGCUAUUGAUAUUUCACUUGGAUAAAGAUACUCUUCCAUAAAUUUUGCUGGCUUAAUGUGACUCAUGAAUUUCUGUUAUCUCACCAAGUUAGUGAAGGUUACCUUCAUCUUUUCCAUAUUUUCGCGGGCCCACUUGCAUGUAAAAGCACGAGCACUCAUUGGUUCUCACUCCCUUCUUUAAACUGCUGGACAUUCAGUUCGUUACUACGAAAGUGACUUAAUCCGUGCACUCUUAGUAUGCUAAAUAUGAAACAGUAGAAAUAUACUUAUCUGCAGUUUGUCGAUGUCUCCUUCACUGUGUUGGUAGCGAGAUCCAUCGUCGGUACCACCUCCUUUUCGCAUCGCAGCUAUAUAGGAUGUCUGCCUUUUGCCCACACUAUGUAAUGUUCGUGACGCUCGCAGUCACGCAGAGUGGAGGAACUCGGCGCACUCGCAGAAGCAGCACCGGACAAGUUGUUUCUUCAGCACUUCGCCGUGAACAGUAGGUGCGCGUUGCGAUCUGUAAAAUCGCCGAAGCUAUUGGCAGUCUUACCGGGUGCACGGGAAGAUUGCCCACGGAGGAACAGAACUAUCCAAGAAAUAGUGGCCAUCGUCGAGCCUGAUCACUACGUCGCGCACUGCAAGCUCGUUGUACGGGUUUGUUUACACUGGGCCUCUCUGAUGCUUAGCCGCCAUGCUUGCCCAGUGAAUGGAUGUGAUGACGCCACUACAGCGUUCCCUCGUGGUGUAAUGCGAAGCGUACUAAAUUACAAAUCAGUCUAAGACGCAUUCAGUGCACAUCUCGUAAGUUUCAAAAUGCUUCUAAACCACGUUAAAGUAACUAAUAAUAUUGUACUAAAUGCAUUUGUUUUACAAGUUGCUUCUGCAUGUAAUGCACUCGGUGGAACGACAAACAAGUGAAAGAAGGCACGACCAUGCACCGACGGUAUGAUCACGUGAGCCCCAGUUUGUCGACCGCCCAGAAGGCAACGCCCAAGGAAUGAUAGCCAGCCAGAGUGAAUCUAGAUAAACCAAUGAAACUGGAGGCUUGUCGAAAGACAAACUGUGUCUCGGUACCAUUCGUGCUUUCAUCUUGGGGUGUCGCCAGAGCUCGUGAAGAUCCCGAGUUUCGCCAAACUCGGCGCAUCCUGCAUAGCACCCCUGGAUUCUGGUGCGGCUGACAACGGCAAUAACGACAUGCAGUAAUGAGGAUGGCACCAGUAUAAAGCAACACACUCCACACACUAAACAGAAGCUGCUGCCUGCUACAACAAGGCCAUUGUGUGGACAUUGGCUGCUACGACAAGAGUCCAUGCCAAGCAUACCUUGGUCAUCACAGGAGCUCCUAUCCACACCAACAGAAAGGGGCUGGAGCUGAAUUUGCAAGGCUUUUACACCACGAACAAAGAAGCGCAUGCAGAAGAAUUUACAUGAGAUAUCAAGUCUGCAGAGCACUGUGUCAAGACUGAAAAGAGCUUCAGCCACCAUUCCACCAGCGCGGACAAAUUGGCUGAGUCAUCCAGGUAACUCAAAAAGGACUUUAUGGAAAUUCUUCGUCUUCAGAUGCGCCUGCAACUUCUGAUCAAGCACGGACGACGCUGGCCAAAAGAGUUCCAUCAGUUUGCCCUUAAUCAGCUUCCUGGCCAUGUCAAUUCCAUUUGUGCCAAGUGUAAUUUUUCUUCUAUAAAUGCAAGCUUUUUCAUUGCCCAUUCUCGUUAGAGAUCAUUCAUCCUCAUCCAAACAUAAAGGUCAACCGAUUCUUCGCUGAUACUUAAUACCAAUCACUGUCUAGUAGCAUAACAUAUCUGUAGCAGUACCUUUUAGUGCAUGUUGUCAUGCACAAUUCCUCUCCUGAAAUAGCUGAUGCAACAUCGACAUGUUUCUUGCAUUAACCUACGCACUGUUUGCUAUGCACCAUUUUACUUUUCUUGAUGUUUUUGGCCUUCAAUGCUUGCAGAGCAGGGUGGCUUCUCUCUUGAAUGCAAGCUUUCUCAUUUUCCAUAUUCCUAGUCUCGUUGAUGGUUGCUCUUCUUCCUCGAUAGCCUGGGUCUUUGCGCAAGCUACACUGAAUGAUAGAUUGCAGAAUCUGGUUUUGCUGCCCCACUUGGUUGUGGUCGCCGUGUUACAUUUCUCGGAUGUGGGGGCCUGCUCAGUUACAUUGGCAAGCAGUCUCUCGAGGUAAGCAUUUGCUCCUGCAGUCCGCACAGCGACAUGGACUCCCAGUGUACACACACCAUAACUGGUGCUCCCCGUUCAUUUUUUCCUGCUGCAGCCAUGGGCAAAUUGUGCUUGUGGCCUACCUCGGCCAUGAUUUGCUCAAAACUGAGACCAGCAUAUGUGCUUACAUGGUUCGAAGUGUAUGAAGUUGAUAGCCGUACGGGGGGAAAUGCCUGCAAAAAUGACUGCCAAAGGUGAUGCCCACGAAAGCGACUUGUCCAUAUUGAGACAAAGUGGGACACCAAAUGUGAGCCACACAUUAGUGGCCCUCGACAGAAAAGAAACAUGCAGGUUGGAAAGGAGUUAAUGCUAAAAUGUCGGAUAGUCCAUUUCGCUGUGUUGGUUGCGGCAGCAGAUGCCUGCGUCACCUGAUUGCUUCGCAAUGGAAGUUGCUCAUCUUCAACGGCUACUGUCGUUUCAAACAGGUGCGACGCUCUGUCCAAUCUGUUUGUACUGCUGUUUGUCGCUCGUUACCAGACCACCACAUGUGACGAAGGCAAGCAUUAUGCCUGUAAGUAGGCGGCUGAAUGUAUCCUAAGAGACCCGUGUAUGUGAAUGCUCACUGUUGCCAUAUGGUUUGUAGCCAAUGUAUAAUGUAUUCUCUGAACACUAUGUUGUGAAUGAUUGCCGUUUAUUUUUGCUGUUAUCUCACUUGGUUACGGUCGCCGUAUUAUGCUUAUCGGAUGUGGGGGCCUGGUCAGUUGCAUUGGAAAACAGUCUCUCGAGGUAAGCAUUUGCUCCUGCAGUCCGCACAGCGACAUAGACUCCCAAUUUACACACCAUGAUUCGUGCUCCCCGUUCAGCCUUUCCUGCUGCAGCCAUGUGCAAAUUGUGCCUGCGGCCUUUCUCAGUCGCAAUUAAGCACGAACGGAGACAAGCAUACGUGCUUACAUGGUCCAACGUGUUUGAAGUUCAUAGCCACAUGGGGGGAAAGGCCCGCAUAAAUGGCUGCCGAAGGUGAUGCCCACGAAAGCAACUUGUCCAUAUUGAGACAAAGUGGGACGCCAAAUGUGAGCCACACAUUAGUGGCCCUCGACAGAAAAGAAACAUGCAGGUUGGAAAGAAGUUAACGCUAAAAUGCCGGAUAGUCCAUUUCGCUGUGUUGGUUGUGGCAGCAGAUGCCUGCAUCACCUGAUUUCUUCGCAAUGGAAGUUGCUCAUCUUCAACGGCAACUGUCGGUUCGAACAGGUGCGACGCUCUGUCCAAUCUGUUUGCACUGCUGUUUGUCGCUCGUUACCAGACCACCACAUGCGACGAAGGCAAGCAUUAUGCCUGUAAGUAGGCGGCUGAAUAUAUCCUAAGAGACCCGUGUAUGUGAAUGCUCACUGUUGCCAUAUGGUUUGUAGCCAAUGUAUAACGUAUUCUCUGAACACUAUGUGGUGAAUGAUUGCCGUUUAUUUUUGCUGUUAUCUCACUUGGUUACGGUCGCCGUGUUAUGCUUAUCGGAUGUGGCGGCCUGGUCAGUUGCACUGGAAAGCAGUUUCUCGAAGUAAGCAUUUGCUCCUGCAAUCUGCACAGCGACAUAGACUCCCAAUUUACACACCGUGAUUCGUGCUCCCCGUUCACGUUCAGCCUUUCCUGCUGCAGCCAUGGGCAAAUUGUGCCUGUUGCCUUUCUCGGCCGCUAUUAAGCACGAACGGAGACCGGCAUACGUGCUUACAUGGUCCGACGUGUGUGAAGUUGGGUGCAAAGGCCCGCAAAAAUGGCUGAUGAAGGUGAUGCCCACGAAAGCGACUUGUCCAUAUUGAGACAAUGUGGGACACCAAGUGCGAGCCACACAUUAGCGGCCUCCGAAAGAAAAGUAGCGUGCAGGUUGGAAAGGAGUUAAGGCUAAAAUGCCGGGUAGUCCAUGUCGCUGUGUUGGCUGCGGCAGCAGAUGCCUGGUUCACCCGAUUGUUUCGCAGUGCAAGUUGCUCAUCUUUAACGGCGACUGCCGCUGCAAACAGGCGGGACACUGACCAAUCUGCAUGAGCCGCUGGUUGUCGCUCGUUACUAGACCGCCAUGUGUGACGACGACGGUGAGCCGUUUACGAGCUCGCUUCAAAGAUUCCAGUGUAUCUCGACAUACAAAUUUUAUUUCUGCUAUUGCACGAGAAUGUACAUACACUGCUUGUCUUCUGCCAAUAAAGUCACACGUUCUGUUCACUCACUUGUGGCUUGUUUGUAUGGGCGUCAGUAGAGGCUCUUUGGUCUCCUGGCAAUUAGAACGCACCGGCUACGCGGCAGCCGAGGCGAGUACAGCGCGUACGAGCGGAUACAAGCG
Molecule: long non-coding RNA, 4568 nt
Organism: Dermacentor andersoni
Lineage: Eukaryota; Metazoa; Arthropoda; Arachnida; Ixodida; Ixodidae
Source: RefSeq, a predicted model, not a curated record